This 1098-nucleotide long non-coding RNA is filed under the name Heterocephalus glaber (naked mole-rat). Its description in RNAcentral is "lncRNA (ENSHGLG00100035185.1)". Lineage: Eukaryota; Metazoa; Chordata; Mammalia; Rodentia; Bathyergidae. The record is from RNAcentral.
GUUGGAGUAUUUUAACUCGACGUGCGUGUGCGCAUGGCCUUGGUCGGCGUGGAACAGCAGGCUGCUUCGGGAGGGGGAGGGCACAUCCGGGCACCUGUCCUGCAAGCGAGCCUCGGGACCUGGGUUCUCUGUGACGUCCUGGCCUUCAGCUAAGGAGCAUGUUGGCAUGGGAUGUGGGAAAUGGCAAGACCCCAGAAAUGGACAGAUAGAAGGAAAGACGGCUGCUAAGCAGACAUUAUGCUACACAGAGUCCAGGCCAGCCCAUGUCGCAGAGCGGUUACUUACAUUAAGAAAGGAUUCUGUGUCAAGUGUUUGAGUUAAUUUCUACCUCUUAGGAUCGAGGGAAGUAGGGUUUAAUAUUUCCAUGUAGGGAGAGGAACACCCAGGCUCAGGGAAGUAACUGACCUACUCUCGCGUGGUUCCAGAGGUGGAUUUUCGGACACCAAAGUCGUUCUCCCACCCUGAAGGUCCCAUUCAAGCCAGAGCCGGAGUGUAAGGUCAUGGAUUCUCCCACUCGCUUGCCCUAGGGGUUAAAUUGUACACUGCCCCUGUUAAGGCAUAUCCAGGACUUUAAAGGUCUCCCUGUUGGCCAACACUAACCUGGGAUGGUGAAGUCAGGAUAAUGAAUUCCCUUCACUUACCCUUCAGCUUUUCCCAAAGAUCCUGCAGACACCCGCACACAGAGAAAAUGCAUCUUUGGCUUUGUUUUCUCCAUGACACAGUGCUGUCCGGUCUCCUUCCUUUUGACCUGACAGUGGGGUGGUGACUCUUGCUGCGGACUGAAGUGUCAGCAGGCGCUUGUGCGGAAGAGACAGUCUGAAGAGGUGGGGGCUUCUGGAGGUGACCGGGCUUUGCAGGCAGUCUCCUGAGUGGAAUCAGUGUCCUUACAGAAGAGACCCCAGGGAGCUCCCUCCCUGCCCCUUUGCCACUGAGCAUAGAGCAAGAAGACGGUCCGUGGCUCAGGAACUUCUCCAACACUGAGCCUGCCAGCACCCUGACCUUAAGAAACACGCGUCUGUUGUCCAUAAGCCACUCAGGGUACAGCAGGUAGUUAGAGCAGCCUGGGCCAAGGCACUUUCUUUUCCCCUUUCUGUUUCU